UUCAUUCAGAUGGUUGAGCUCUUGUUUGU
Molecule: non-coding RNA, 29 nt
Filed under: Rattus norvegicus (Norway rat)
Lineage: Eukaryota; Metazoa; Chordata; Mammalia; Rodentia; Muridae
Source: RNAcentral